RNAcentral lists this small nucleolar RNA (59 nucleotides) under Euglena gracilis. RNAcentral describes it as "Eg-m137 box C/D methylation-guide". Lineage: Eukaryota; Euglenozoa; Euglenophyceae; Euglenales; Euglenaceae. The record is from RNAcentral.
CCAAAGAUGAAACACAGCCCGCGUGUCUGAAGGUUUUGAUGCUUCCUUCCUGGCUGAGG